This 266-nucleotide unclassified non-coding RNA is filed under the name Hevea brasiliensis (rubber tree). Lineage: Eukaryota; Viridiplantae; Streptophyta; Magnoliopsida; Malpighiales; Euphorbiaceae. The record is from RNAcentral.
CCUAGGCAUAUUCAGCUUGCGGUGAGAAAUGAUGAGGAAUUAAGCAAGCUCUUGGGAUAUGUGACCAUUGCCAAUGGAGGGGUUUUGCCUAAUAUUCACCAAAAUUUACUGCCAAAGAAGACUGCAAAAGGGAAAGGUGAAAUUGGGUCUGCGUCUCAGGAGUUUUAGGGUUCUAAAUUAAUCUAUUUGUUUCUGAAGUUAGGGGUUUGUUAGGUAGGUUGCUCUUUCCAUGGGAUAGAUUGUUGAUAGCAUGUAAUGAAGCUGGG